This 964-nucleotide non-coding RNA is filed under the name Balantiopteryx plicata (gray sac-winged rat). RNAcentral's name for it is "partial 12S ribosomal RNA". It matches the Rfam family "Bacterial small subunit ribosomal RNA". Lineage: Eukaryota; Metazoa; Chordata; Mammalia; Chiroptera; Emballonuridae. The record is from RNAcentral.
CAUAAGUUUGGUCCUAACUUUCCUAUUAAUUAUUAACAAAAUUACACAUGCAAGUAUCAGCCCCCCAGUGAGAAUGCCCUCUAAGUCAUCGAAUUGAAACAAAGGAGCAAGUAUCAGGCACACCCAAGGUAGCCCACGACACUUUGCUCAACCACACCCCCACGGGAAGCAGCAGUGAUAAAAAUUAAGCCAUGAACGAAAGUUCGACUAAGUUAUGUUAAUUAGGGUUGGUAAAUUUCGUGCCAGCCACCGCGGUCAUACGAUUAACCCAAAUUAAUAGUUUUCGGCGUAAAGCGUGGUUAAGGUAACGACACAAAAUAAAGUUAAACUGUAACUAAGCCGUAAAAAGCCCUAGCUAUUGUAAAAUAACCCACGAAAGUGACUUUAUACGCCUGAGCCCACGAUAGCUGAGACCCAAACUGGGAUUAGAUACCCCACUAUGCUCAGCCCUAAACAUAAAAAGUCAUACAACAAGACUAAUCGCCAGAGUACUACUAGCCAAAGCUUAAAACUCAAAGGACUUGGCGGUGCUUUAUAUCCGUCUAGAGGAGCCUGUUCUAUAAUCGAUAAACCCCGAUAAACCUCACCAACCCUUGCCAAAUCAGCCUAUAUACCGCCAUCCUCAGCAAACCCUAAAAGGGGAACAAAGUAAGCACAACUAUAGGACAUAAAAACGUUAGGUCAAGGUGUAGCUAAUGGGCUGGGAAGAAAUGGGCUACAUUUCCUAUCAAAGGCUACCAAAAAUAUAUACGAACAUUACUGUGAAACCAGUAAUAGAAGGUGGAUUUAGCAGUAGACUAAGAGCAGAGAGCUUAGUCGAACAUAGGCCAUGAAGCACGCACACACCGCCCGUCACCCUCCUCAAGCACUACCAAUCACCAUAAACUCUAUUAACAAAAUUGAACCUGUAAGAGGAGAUAAGUCGUAACAAGGUAAGUGUACUGGAAAGUGCGCUUGGACAACU